RNAcentral lists this ribosomal RNA (821 nucleotides) under Flavobacterium sp. Its description in RNAcentral is "bacterial SSU rRNA". It matches the Rfam family "Bacterial small subunit ribosomal RNA", at positions 112 to 937 of the family's 1533-position model. Lineage: Bacteria; Pseudomonadati; Bacteroidota; Flavobacteriia; Flavobacteriales; Flavobacteriaceae. The record is from RNAcentral.
AACGCGUAUGCAAUCUGCCUUUCACAGAGGGAUAGCCCAGAGAAAUUUGGAUUAAUACCUCAUAGUAUAAUCAAGCCGCAUGGUUUAAUUAUUAAAGUCACAACGGUGAAAGAUGAGCAUGCGUCCCAUUAGCUAGUUGGUAAGGUAACGGCUUACCAAGGCAACGAUGGGUAGGGGUCCUGAGAGGGAGAUCCCCCACACUGGUACUGAGACACGGACCAGACUUAUACGGGAGGCAGCAGUGAGGAAUAUUGGACAAUGGGCGCAAGCCUGAUCCAGCCAUGCCGCGUGCAGGAUGACGGUCCUAUGGAUUGUAAACUGCUUUUGUACGAGAAGAAACAUCCCGACGUGUCGGGACUUGACGGUAUCGUAAGAAUAAGGAUCGGCUAACUCCGUGCCAGCAGCCGCGGUAAUACGGAGGAUCCAAGCGUUAUCCGGAAUCAUUGGGUUUAAAGGGUCCGUAGGCGGUUUAGUAAGUCAGUGGUGAAAGCCCAUCGCUCAACGGUGGAACGGCCAUUGAUACUGCUGAACUUGAAUUAUUAGGAAGUAACUAGAAUAUGUAGNUAGCGGUGAAAUGCUUAGAUAUUACAUGGAAUACCAAUUGCGAAGGCAGGUUACUACUAAUGGAUUGACGCUGAUGGACGAAAGCGUGGGGAGCGAACAGGAUUAGAUACCCUGUUAGUCCACGCCGUAAACGAUNNAUACUAGCUGUUGGGGGCAACUUCAGUGGCUAAGCGAAAGUGAUAAGUAUCCCACCUGGGGAGUACGUUCGCAAGAAUGAAACUCAAAGGAAUUGACGGGGGCCCGCACAAGCGGGGGAG